This 334-nucleotide unclassified non-coding RNA is filed under the name soil metagenome. Its description in RNAcentral is "partial contains 5.8S ribosomal RNA, internal transcribed spacer 2, and large subunit ribosomal RNA". The stretch from base 1 to 120 matches the Rfam family "5.8S ribosomal RNA", at positions 35 to 154 of the family's 154-position model. The record is from RNAcentral.
GAUGAAGAACGUAGCGAAAUGCGAUAAGUAAUGUGAAUUGCAGAAUUCAGUGAAUCAUCGAAUCUUUGAACGCACAUUGCGCCCGCCAGUAUUCUGGCGGGCAUGCCUGUUCGAGCGUCAUUUCAACCAUCAAGCCCCGGGCUUGUGUUGGGGACCUGCGGCUGCCGCAGGCCCUGAAAUGCAGUGGCGGGCUCGCUGUCACUCCGAGCGUAGUAGUUACAUCUCGCUCUGGGCGUGCUGCGGGUUCCGGCCGUUUAAAGCCUUAUUUACCCAAGGUUGACCUCGGAUCAGGUAGGAAGACCCGCUGAACUUAAGCAUAUCAAUAAGCGGAGGA